UUUCCGUAGGUGAACCUGCGGAAGGAUCAUUCAUAAUAAAGUGUUUUAUGGCACUUUUUAAAAAUCCAUAUCCACCUUGUGUGCAAUGUUAGAUCUCGUCAAUCUUGGCGAGAUUUUUAUACAUCAACUCAUUCUUUAACUAAUUUGUCUGAAAAAUAUUAUGAAUACUUAAUUCAAAAUACAACUUUCAACAACGGAUCUCUUGGUUCUG
This 211-nucleotide unclassified non-coding RNA is filed under the name plant metagenome. Its description in RNAcentral is "partial contains small subunit ribosomal RNA, internal transcribed spacer 1, and 5.8S ribosomal RNA". The record is from RNAcentral.